GACGAACGCUGGCGGCGUGCUUAACACAUGCAAGUCGAACGGAAAGGCCCUGCUUUUGUGGGGUGCUCGAGUGGCGCAGGGGUGAGAAACAUGUGAGUAAGCUGCCCUGGAGUUUGGGAUAACUUCAGGAAAGUGGGGAUAAUACCGGAUAGGAGCUGCUGCUGCAUGGGGGGGGUUGGAAAGCUUCGGCGGUUGGGGAUGGACUCGCGGCUUAUUAGCUUGUUGGUGGGGGAGUGGCUUACCAAGGCUUUGACGGGUAGCCGGCCUGAGAGGGUGACCGGCCACAAUGGGACUGAGAUAGGGCCCAGACUCCAACGGGAGGCAGCAGUGGGGAAUAUUGCACAAUGGGCGGAAGCCUGAUGCAGCAACGCCGCGUGCGGGAUGACGGCCUUCGGGUUGUAAACCGCUUUCGCCUGUGACGAAGCGUGAGUGACGGUAAUGGGUAAAGAAGCACCGGCUAACUACGUG
Molecule: ribosomal RNA, 468 nt
Filed under: uncultured bacterium
Lineage: Bacteria
Description: partial 16S ribosomal RNA
Rfam family: Bacterial small subunit ribosomal RNA
Source: RNAcentral